AACCGGAUUAGAUACCCUGGUAGUCCAUGCCGUAAACGAUGUCUACUAGCCGUUGGGGCCUUUGAGGCUUUAGUGGCGCAGCUAACGCGAUAAGUAGACCGCCUGGGGAGUACGGUCGCAAGACUAAAACUCAAAUGAAUUGACGGGGGCCCGCACAAGCGGUGGAGCAUGUGGUUUAAUUCGAUGCAACGCGAAGAACCUUACCUGGUCUUGACAUAGUAAGAACUUUCCAGAGAUGGAUUGGUGCCUUCGGGAACUUACAUACAGGUGCUGCAUGGCUGUCGUCAGCUCGUGUCGUGAGAUGUUGGGUUAAGUCCCGCAACGAGCGCAACCCUUUUCCUUAUUUGCCAGCGGGUUAAGCCGGGAACUUUAAGGAUACUGCCAGUGACAAACUGGAGGAAGGCGGGGACGACGUCAAGUCAUCAUGGCCCUUACGACCAGGGCUACACACGUGCUACAAUGGUCGGUACAAAGGGUUGCUACCACGCGAGUGGAUGCUAAUCUCAAAAAGCCGAUCGUAGUCCGGAUUGGAGUCUGCAACUCGACUCCAUGAAGUCUGGAAUCGCUAGA
This 570-nucleotide ribosomal RNA is filed under the name uncultured Acinetobacter sp. Its description in RNAcentral is "bacterial SSU rRNA". It matches the Rfam family "Bacterial small subunit ribosomal RNA", at positions 771 to 1339 of the family's 1533-position model. Lineage: Bacteria; Pseudomonadati; Pseudomonadota; Gammaproteobacteria; Moraxellales; Moraxellaceae. The record is from RNAcentral.